This 328-nucleotide ribosomal RNA is filed under the name uncultured eukaryote. Its description in RNAcentral is "partial 18S ribosomal RNA". It matches the Rfam family "Eukaryotic small subunit ribosomal RNA", at positions 1470 to 1796 of the family's 1831-position model. The record is from RNAcentral.
CCCUUAGACGUUCUGGGCCGCACGCGCGCUACACUGACCAGUGCAACAAGCAUCCGUCCUUGGCCGACAGGCUCGGGCAAUCUUUGAACGCUGGUCGUGAUGGGGAUAGAUUAUUGCAAUUAUUAAUCUUCAACGAGGAAUGCCUAGUAAGCGCAAGUCAUCAGCUUGCGUUGAUUACGUCCCUGCCCUUUGUACACACCGCCCGUCGCUCCUACCGAUUGAAUGGUCCGGUGAAGCGUUCGGACCGUGGCCUUUGGACGGUUCGCCGUCUGUUGGCUGCGGGAAGUUCGUUAAACCUUAUCAUUUAGAGGAAGGAGAAGUCGUAACA